GAUGAAGAACGUAGUGAAAUGCGAUAACUAAUGUGAAUUGCAGAAUUCCGUGAAUCAUCGAGUCUUUGAACGCACAUUGCGCCCCCUGGUAUUCCGGGGGGCAUGCCUGUCCGAGCGUCAUUGCUGCCCAUCAAGCACGGCUUGUGUGUUGGGUCCUCGUCCCCCCCGGGGGACGUGCCCGAAAGGCAGCGGCGGCACCGCGUCCGGUCCUCGAGCGUAUGGGGCUUUGUCACCCGCUCUGCAGGCCCGGCCGGCGCUGGCCGACGCGAAAGCAACCAUUUUUUCUCCAGGUUGACCUCGGAUCAGGUAGGGAUACCCGCUGAACUUAAGCAUAUCAAUAAGCGGAGGA
Molecule: unclassified non-coding RNA, 349 nt
Filed under: soil metagenome
Description: partial contains 5.8S ribosomal RNA, internal transcribed spacer 2, and large subunit ribosomal RNA
Rfam family: 5.8S ribosomal RNA (bases 1-120)
Source: RNAcentral